This 253-nucleotide ribosomal RNA is filed under the name uncultured bacterium. Its description in RNAcentral is "partial 16S ribosomal RNA". It matches the Rfam family "Bacterial small subunit ribosomal RNA", at positions 524 to 776 of the family's 1533-position model. The record is from RNAcentral.
UACGAAGGGGGCGAGCGUUGUUCGGAGUUACUGGGCGUAAAGGGCGCGUAGGCUGCGCUCCAAGUUAGGCGUGAAAGCCCCGGGCUCAAUCUGGGAAUUGCGCUUAAGACUGGAGUGCUCGAGUGCGGAAGAGGUGAGUGGAAUUCCCAGUGUAGAGGUGAAAUUCGUAGAUAUUGGGAAGAACACCAGUGGCGAAGGCGGCUCACUGGUCCGCAACUGACGCUGAGGCGCGAAAGCGUGGGGAGCAAACAGG